GGCCCAAAUUUGAAGUAGAGUAGAUUAGUAUGAUCGGCUGACCCUACUUGAAUACCCUUCAUCAAGUUUGUGCCC
Molecule: microRNA precursor, 75 nt
Filed under: Haemonchus placei
Lineage: Eukaryota; Metazoa; Nematoda; Chromadorea; Rhabditida; Trichostrongylidae
Description: mir-5928 microRNA precursor family
Rfam family: mir-5928 microRNA precursor family
Source: Rfam by way of RNAcentral